This 858-nucleotide ribosomal RNA is filed under the name uncultured prokaryote. RNAcentral describes it as "bacterial SSU rRNA". It matches the Rfam family "Bacterial small subunit ribosomal RNA", at positions 616 to 1480 of the family's 1533-position model. The record is from RNAcentral.
UGGAGGGUCAUUGGAAACUGGGAGACUUGAGUGCAGGAGAGAAAAGUGGAAUUCCACGUGUAGCGGUGAAAUGCGUAGAGAUGUGGAGGAACACCAGUGGCGAAGGCGGCUUUUUGGCCUGUAACUGACGCUGAGGCGCGAAAGCGUGGGGAGCAAACAGGAUUAGAUACCCUGGUAGUCCACGCCGUAAACGAUGAGUGCUAGGUGUUGGGGGGUUCCACCCUCAGUGCUGAAGUUAACACAUUAAGCACUCCGCCUGGGGAGUACGACCGCAAGGUUGAAACUCAAAGGAAUUGACGGGGGCCCGCACAAGCAGUGGAGCAUGUGGUUUAAUUCGAAGCAACGCGAAGAACCUUACCAGGUCUUGACAUCCUUUGACCACUCUAGAGAUAGAGCUUUCCCCUUCGGGGGACAAAGUGACAGGUGGUGCAUGGUUGUCGUCAGCUCGUGUCGUGAGAUGUUGGGUUAAGUCCCGCAACGAGCGCAACCCUUGACCUUAGUUGCCAGCAUUCAGUUGGGCACUCUAAGGUGACUGCCGGUGACAAACCGGAGGAAGGUGGGGAUGACGUCAAAUCAUCAUGCCCCUUAUGACCUGGGCUACACACGUGCUACAAUGGAUGAUACAAAGGGUUGCGAAGCCGCGAGGCCAAGCCAAUCCCAAAAAGUCAUUCUCAGUUCGGAUUGUAGGCUGCAACUCGCCUACAUGAAGCCGGAAUUGCUAGUAAUCGCGGAUCAGCAUGCCGCGGUGAAUACGUUCCCGGGCCUUGUACACACCGCCCGUCACACCACGAGAGUUUGUAACACCCGAAGUCGGUGGGGUAACCCUUUGGAGCAGCCGCCAAGUACGGACUUCUGUCA